RNAcentral lists this ribosomal RNA (494 nucleotides) under uncultured bacterium. RNAcentral's name for it is "bacterial SSU rRNA". It matches the Rfam family "Bacterial small subunit ribosomal RNA", at positions 29 to 507 of the family's 1533-position model. The record is from RNAcentral.
AACGAACGCUGGCGGCACGCUUCAUACAUGCAAGUCGCGCGAUUAAGGCCCGCAAGGGCGCAUAAAGCGGCGAACGGGUGCGUAACACGUGGAUAAUCUGCCUUUCGGUGGGGGAUAACGGCUGGAAACGGCCGCUAAUACCGCAUGUGGUUGCGAGGUCUUCGGGCCUUGCAAAGAAAGAGGCCUUUAAAGCCUUGCCGAGAGAUGAGUCCGCGCCCCAUUAGCUAGUUGGCGGGAUAACAGCCCACCAAGGCUUCGAUGGGUAGCCGAGCUGAGAGGUUGAUCGGCCACACUGGGACUGAGACACGGCCCAGACACCUACGGGUGGCAGCAGUAGGGAAUAUUGGACAAUGGGGGAAACCCUGAUCCAGCGAUGCCGCGUGAAUGAUGAAGGCCUUCGGGUCGUAAAGUUCUUUUCUGAGGGAAGAACUGUUGGGCGAGGAAAUGCGCCUGAUUUGACGGUACCUCAGGAAUAAGCAACGGCUAACUCCGUG